UUAUCCAUCGUGAUAUUUUAAACAGUCCAUAAAGCACUCAGGACGGCCCUGACAGAGAGAGGGCCGUAGUAGGGUGCUUCCAUAUCGGGCAUUAAUAUGAGAAUGACCCUUAAAUGCAUUUAGGACCAUAUUUUAAUUUUUGGGUUCCCAGGUGCACGUUUUCAAUCACCAGUUGCACAACAAUCAGUAUCCAUCGUGAUAUUUUAAACAGUCCAUAAAGCACUCAGGGCCCUGACAGAGAGAGGGCCGUAGGGUGCUUCCAUAUCGGGCAUUAAUAUGAGAAUGACCCUUAAAUGCAUUUAGGACCAUAUUUUAAUUUUUGGGUUCCCAGGUGCACGUUUUCAAUCACCAGUUGCACAACAAUCAACAAUCAGUAUCCAUCGUGAUAUUUUAAACAGUCCAUAAAGCACUCAGGACGGCCCUGACAGAGAGAGGGCCGUAGUAGGGUGCUUCCAUAUCGGGCAUUAAUAUGAGAAUGACCCUUAAAUGCAUUUAGGACCAUAUUUUAAUUUUUGGGUUCCCAGGUGCACGUUUUCAAUCACCAGGUGCACGGAUGUAUAGGGUCCCCCAUGGAUAAAAGGUCCGUAUUAGGGUGCUCCCAUAGCGGGCAUGACUUUUUGAACACCGCUCAUGUAAUUUUAGGUUCCCAGGUGCACGUUUUCAAUCACCAGUUGCACGAAAAAAAUAAAAUAUUAAACCUUCCAUAAAUCACUCAGGGCGGGCCCCCAUUGAUAGAGGGCCGUAGUAGGGUGCUUCCAUAGCGGGCAUGGGUAUCUGGAACACCGUUAAGUCAUUUAGAACCGUAUUUUAACUUUUGGGUUACCAGGUGCCUAUUUUCAAUCACCAGGUGCACGGCUGUGAAAAGUGGGGACUCUGUCAUUUUUUCGACCGAUUUCUGAAAUUUUCAAAAAAUGAUUAAAAAUACUUCCCGAAGGGCCAGAGGUCCCAAAUUUCGUGUCAUACCCUCUCUCGUGAUGGGCAACAAUUCCAGCAUAUAAAAAAGAUUUCGCAUCCACAGGCACCUAUGUUUCUGGUAGAAUUCACUUUUUCCCAAAAACGUAAAUCACGAUUUUCUAUUAAAAUGUUUUAUACAAAAACGUUUUUAAUUAAAUGGAAAUGCUCGUCUAUUUGUGCCCUUUCGUGCAAAAAACGCCCCAUCCAGAUUGGAGGUGUACUUUUUGAUUUAUUCACGUUUUGGCAAAAACGGAAUUUGACCCCCAAUGGCUGGGCGCACAUAAACC
This is a long non-coding RNA of Oncorhynchus tshawytscha (Chinook salmon), 1241 nucleotides long. NCBI's taxonomy places the organism in Eukaryota, Metazoa, Chordata, Actinopteri, Salmoniformes, Salmonidae. The record is from Ensembl.